Dipodomys ordii (Ord's kangaroo rat) is the source of this 74-nucleotide non-coding RNA. NCBI's taxonomy places the organism in Eukaryota, Metazoa, Chordata, Mammalia, Rodentia, Heteromyidae. The record is from Rfam.
GGGAAGGUGGCUCAGUGGUAGAGUGCUUGCCUUGCACGCAUGAGGCCCUGGGUUUGAUUCCUCAGCACUACCCA